This is a long non-coding RNA of Balaenoptera ricei (Rice's whale), 597 nucleotides long. RefSeq lists it as uncharacterized. The transcript has 4 exons. NCBI's taxonomy places the organism in Eukaryota, Metazoa, Chordata, Mammalia, Artiodactyla, Balaenopteridae. The record is from RefSeq and is a predicted model, not a curated record.
UUGAUUUUUCACUGUAUUCGGGAAGGAUGAGUUUUGAUGAUCAUUUCUUGUGCCUAAGGAUGCCAAAAGCCCACCGGACCAAAAUAAUAUUAAAGACAUCCAAGGAGAACAUCUCUGAAUGGGCAGCAAGAUUCCUCAGACAGGUCUUGCUCUGUGAUGUUUAGCAGUGAAUACGAAUGUUACCAAUGGACACUAGAGCCGAAAAUCACCUUGGAGGACACCUGCUCUGACUCCCUCAUUUCACAGCUGGCACCUUGGCUGGCUCCCUGGGAAAGACAACUGGACAACUCAUGGAAAAGUCAAGGAGAUAACCUCAGAAAUAAUUCUGCAAGGAGAUGCUGAACCAAGACUCAACCCCUUCUCACUCUGGAUCUUCCUUGUCAUUGUCAAACAAGAGAUUCGUGGAGGGGUUUAUAUAUUUCCAAAUGGGAUUGUAAAUGCUUAAAGCUCAUAGAAUGUUGGAUCUGGGAGGAGAUUCUCAAUUCAACUCAACCUUACAUCCUACGAGAAAGAAACAGAAAUCCAGAAAGUCAUGCAGUUAUAUGUAACCAAGAUGGAAACUAGAACCCUAUUUCCCGACUUCCAGAGGAAAAAGUU